UGAUGGAAGGUGACAAGUGCCUUCAACUUGAUUAUGGAGAAGCACUGAACCUCCCGCCCAGGUGCUGCCCUGACACUGUGGAUUCAUGAGGCAGUGUGGGCCUCUAGUGCAGUGAUUGACAGCUUGAGAUGUCUUGGUGCCAUUAUUUUAAAGAUAGGAUAAAAAAGCUAAGGAUUGAUUAAAAUUCAUUUACUACUCAAAUAUAUGUCUCCUUUUCCAUCUAAGAAACUUGCUAAAUCAUGCCAGAGUUCAUGGUCCCAGAGCACCUUCUAAACAUUUGAGGAGGCUGCAUCUCCUAUCACUGUCAUGGACCACCACCAGGGGGCAGAUGAGAGCACCCCAGGACCCUGUGUUCAGGCGCCCAUCCUCCAGGGCUGGGAAGAGGAAGAAGGGGACACAUGGUCAGACCUCCCCAGAGAAGGAGGUGUGAGGCCAACGCUGAAGAUGCUGCUGCUCCUGCUGCUUCUGGGGCCCACAGGCUCUGGGCUUGGUGCUCAUGUCUCUCAACAUCCAAGCAGGGCCAUCUGUAAGAGUGGGACCUCUGUGAAGAUCGAGUGUCGCUUUGUGGACUUCCAGGCCCAAGUUGUGUUUUGGUACCGUCAGUUCCCCAAACAGAGUUUUGUGCAGAUGGCAACCUCUAAUGUGGGAUCUGAGGGCACCUACGAACAAGAUUUUGACAAGAAGAACUUUCCCAUAAGUCACCCCAAUGCCUCCUUUGCAUCUCUGAUGUUGACCAUCGCACAUUCUGCAGACAGCAGCUUCUUCUUCUGUGCUGGUGACACAGUGCUGGGUGGAAGUCAGAGACCUAGGCAAGAAGGGUUGCAGCAGCCUUCCCCUCCCCCACAGACCCCAGGGGCCCUGUGGGAGGAGCCUGGGGGAGGGAAAACCACAGCUUCUGUGAAUGAGACCUCUGGGAGCAUGUAUCUAGAGCUGUAG
This is a non-coding RNA of Marmota monax (woodchuck), 936 nucleotides long. The record is from the annotation of a RefSeq genome assembly. Lineage: Eukaryota; Metazoa; Chordata; Mammalia; Rodentia; Sciuridae.